AUCCUUUUGUGGUUCAAAAGCAUGAUGAUUGGGUUUCCACAUGUGUGUGAGAUGUGCCUCCUUCAAACCUUGUUACAGCAUUGGCACAUUACCCAAUGUGCUC
Lemur catta (Ring-tailed lemur) is the source of this 103-nucleotide small nucleolar RNA. RefSeq annotates it as small nucleolar RNA U13. NCBI's taxonomy places the organism in Eukaryota, Metazoa, Chordata, Mammalia, Primates, Lemuridae. The record is from RefSeq and is a predicted model, not a curated record. The transcript has a single exon.